Molecule: long non-coding RNA, 218 nt
Filed under: Elaeis guineensis (African oil palm)
Lineage: Eukaryota; Viridiplantae; Streptophyta; Magnoliopsida; Arecales; Arecaceae
Description: long non-coding RNA (EGUI_LNC026307)
Source: RNAcentral
GUUCAGAUUCGAGUUUAGGUUCGGGUUCAAGUUCAUUGGGUUGGGUUCAAGAUCACCUCUUGUCAAAUAUAACCGCUAGUUACUAGACAGUUUAGGUGGUAAGCUUUACCAUGGGCAUGAGAUAUGAAGCUAGGGUAGGAUAGCAAGUGAUCCAUACCAUCCAUUGUUGAGAAAUUUGUAACUUAUAUAGGAGUCUAUUAUCCCACAUUGUAUAGCCA